GGAGUAACUACACUAGCCUUUCGUUUCAUUUUAUGCAGCAGCAUCAUAAAAACUGUUAAAAGGGAGCUACAAUUGAAGCGCGAUAAAGCAAAGAGUGCAUAGUUGAUGGUGCUAUCUUCAUUCUUAAUCAUAUGUACAGGGAGAGAGGGAAUGUUAGUAAAAUAAAUGAUCCUGUAGUAAGUGCCUACAAGCUACAUAACCACUCUCAAACUCACUUAAUAUGAGUAUCUGCUUUAUCGUUCCUUACAUUCUACAACGUCAAGAUGAAAUGGUAUGGGUCAAUUAGCAUGCUACGAGUAAAACGGUCCAUUCUACGAUAAAGCCGACUCACCUCGAUGUCCAAUUUGGUACUUUGGAAUAGUACUCAUAAGUACUAUGUUGAGGGUACGACGGAGCUUGGAGGAACAAAAUGGGUGAACAUGAACCAUGAAAAUUUCCACCAAACAUAUGUCUCGGAAAUGGGCACGUGGUCAACCGUUGACUGACUUAAAUCGCUUACGAAACAAAUACUUUGCAGGUGGCGGAUUUUUUUUCUUUUUUCAUUUCUUUUUUAUUACGACUUUGUAAACGAGUUUAUGUGAAAUAUGAUUCUAGAAAAAAUUAAAUUAAAUAGAAAAUCGAUAGUUUACUUAGUUAAAUAUUUUGCACUUCACUUCCAAACAGUAAUGGACUACGAGUUAUGAUAUGUGCUGGUCAUACUUACACAAGUGUUAAUAUAUACUUGUUGAAAAAGUAUUCCCGCCUCUAGAGUGAUAGGAUUUACGCAGGCUCCGAUUUUCUUUCUUUUCUCUUUAACAGCCGAAAACUUAAGACGUAAUAAUAAUAGACCCUCUAAAAAAAAAAGGUAAAAAAAUAGGAUAGAAUAUUUUAGGGAUCCAAAAAACUACAUGUGCGUUUCAAUUUAGUAAGAAAUUUAACAGACACUAGUAAAUUAUGUUUGCAUCUCACUCUAUAAUUUAAAAGCCUUAAUCUAUAUAUUUAUAGACAUAUAUAUAUAUAUAUAUACCUUGAACACACUUUUCUUGGAUAACUUGACAUUGAUAUUAUAAGCGGUUUACUUAUAGUCUUCUUAUCUCUUCGUUCUAGAAAUAACAUCAUUUUCGUUCCAUGCUAACGAUUCGCUUUGUUCGGCUUUACUUACUUUGCUUCUGCAAUAUAAACCCGCAAUUGAUUACUGUUUGUUUUAGCGGAAUAGAAAGAGGCGCUGAAUGUUUCGGCAAAGUCGCAUGUUAGUUAUAUCGGUGUCGGCCCGCAAACCAUGUCGGUAAAGUCAUUGGCAGCAACAGUAAAAACCAGGCCAGACAAGGACGACACAGGCGAUGUAAUCACACUCUAACAUGUCUAUCCAUUCAUCAGUCUGUUAUUCAUCCCAAACGAUGUUAGGAAAAUGUUGGAUCUCACAUAGUCGCCGUGUUUGUCUUUAUUCUGUAACUGCAACUUAAAAAACUUAAAUUUCUCCAUCUAUACAAAUACCCGGAUUUUAAUGUACUUUAAAAAAAUUUACUUUUCCUCCCUCCUUCAUUAACGAGCUAUACCGUGGUUUGCGAAUAGACGUUAAAGGAAUACAACGUAAAGCGCUUAGUGUUUUGCGACAAAGAUAACGAACUGAAAAGAGGACAAGACAGGACAAGGACAGGGAAGGAGGACAAAUUUGUAAAUAGCGCUGCUUGUCUUUGGUUGCCCUUGGCAAGGAAACCAAAGCGUAGUAAGCAAGAUAUAAAUAUUGGACACAAUCGGGUAUCUGCGAGAUAGCAUGUGAAUCGAUGGUGUAAAGUAGACAACGUAACGGGCAUUCUGUGUUUAUGAGUGAAAUAUGAAGACUUGGUUCGUAAAGUAUACUUGAGAAUGCCUGCCAACGGAGUAUAUGGAAUGAAAUGAAGUAUGGGUAAAAACCGGUGUUGACGUUUAAGAAAAUCUUCAAAUAGCCCACUUUAUCGAAGAAGAGCGAUUGAGAAAACGUCUGCAAAUUAACAAACCUUAAGCAUAUUGGUCAAAGCAACAAUUACCUAAUUUGUUAUUUCUGAGCAACCAUCAACCGGCCGCUUCUUCCCAUAAGGCCCAAAAUACCAAAAAAUCCAAUUGACUACAUACAUAUUUUUGAUAAAAAUACUCCGUCAGGGGGAAUCGAACCCCCGCCGCAUCGGUGAGAGCGAUGAAUCCUAGCCACUGGACCAUGACGGAUUUAGUUAUAUACCGAAAAGUUAUAUUCAUAUUAUUAAACAAUUAUUAGAGUUGAUGAAAUAACCCCAAUGACCUGA
Molecule: non-coding RNA, 2258 nt
Organism: Schizosaccharomyces pombe (fission yeast)
Lineage: Eukaryota; Fungi; Ascomycota; Schizosaccharomycetes; Schizosaccharomycetales; Schizosaccharomycetaceae
Source: the annotation of a GenBank genome assembly